UACGUAGGGGGCAAGCGUUGUCCGGAUUUAUUGGGCGUAAAGAGCGUGUAGGCGGCCAAGCAGGUCCGCUGUGAAAACUCGAGGCUCAACCUCGAGACGUCGGUGGAAACCGUUUGGCUAGAGUCCGGAAGAGGAGAGUGGAAUUCCCGGUGUAGCGGUGAAAUGCGCAGAUAUCGGGAGGAACACCGGUGGCGAAGGCGACAUCCUGGACCGGUAUUGACGCUGAGGCGCGAAAGCCAGGGGAGCAAACGGG
RNAcentral lists this ribosomal RNA (253 nucleotides) under uncultured bacterium. Its description in RNAcentral is "partial 16S ribosomal RNA". It matches the Rfam family "Bacterial small subunit ribosomal RNA", at positions 524 to 776 of the family's 1533-position model. The record is from RNAcentral.